UUAGAGUUUGAUCCUGGCUCAGGACGAACGCUGGCGGCGUGCUUAACACAUGCAAGUCGAACGGAGUUAUUUGGAAAGCUUGCUUUUUGGAUAACUUGGUGGCGGACGGGUGAGUAACGCGUGAGUAAUCUGUCUCACACAGGGGAAUAACGCACCGAAAGGUGUGCUAAUACCGCAUGAGACCACAGGGAGGCAUCUUCCAGGGGUCAAAGAUUUAUCGGUGUGAGGUGAGCUCGCGUCCCAUUAGAUAGUUGGUGAGGUAACGGCCCACCAAGUCGACGAUGGGUAGCCGACCUGAGAGGGUGAUCGGCCACAUUGGAACUGAGAUACGGUCCAAACUCCUACGGGAGGCAGCAGUGAGGAAUAUUGGUCAAUGGACGCAAGUCUGAACCAGCCAUGCCGCGUGAAGGAAUAAGGCCCUAUGGGUCGUAAACUUCUUUUGUGGUGGAGCAAUAAGUCGUACGUGUACGGCGAUGAGAGUACAUCACGAAUAAGCAUCGGCUAACUCCGUGCCAGCAGCCGCGGUAAUACGGAGGAUGCAAGCGUUAUCCGGAUUUAUUGGGUUUAAAGGGUGCGUAGGCUGUGAUCCAAGUCAGGGGUGAAAGCCCGGAGCUCAACUCCGGAACUGCCUUUGAUACUGGAUUGCUGGAAUACGGAUGCCGUGGGAGGAAUGAGUAGUGUAGCGGUGAAAUGCAUAGAUAUUACUCAGAACACCGAUUGCGAAGGCAUCUCACGAAUCCGUCAUUGACGCUGAGGCACGAAAGCGUGGGGAUCAAACAGGAUUAGAUACCCUGGUAGUCCACGCAGUAAACGAUGAUAACUAACCGUCGGCGAUAGACAGUCGGUGGCCAAGCGAAAGCGAUAAGUUAUCCACCUGGGGAGUACGUUCGCAAGAAUGAAACUCAAAGGAAUUGACGGGGGCCCGCACAAGCGGAGGAGCAUGUGGUUUAAUUCGAUGAUACGCGAGGAACCUUACCCGGGCUCGAACGGCUAGUGAACGACUCAGAGAUGAGAAGGUCCUUCGGGACACUAGUCGAGGUGCUGCAUGGUUGUCGUCAGCUCGUGUCGUGAGAUGUUGGCUUAAGUGCCAUAACGAGCGCAACCCUUGUCGCCAGUUACCAUCAUUCAGUUGGGGACUCUGGCGAGACUGCCACCGCAAGGUGUGAGGAAGGCGGGGAUGACGUCAAAUCAGCACGGCCCUUACGUCCGGGGCGACACACGUGUUACAAUGGUAGCUACAGAGGGAAGCCACCUGGUGACAGGGAGCAGAUCUCGAAAAGCUAUCUCAGUUCGGAUUGGAGUCUGCAACUCGACUCCAUGAAGCUGGAUUCGCUAGUAAUCGCGCAUCAGCCAUGGCGCGGUGAAUACGUUCCCGGGCCUUGCACACACCGCCCGUCAAG
RNAcentral lists this ribosomal RNA (1400 nucleotides) under uncultured bacterium. Its description in RNAcentral is "bacterial SSU rRNA". It matches the Rfam family "Bacterial small subunit ribosomal RNA". The record is from RNAcentral.